GUUUUUUUAAGCAAAUAUUAGAAAAUAUUCAGUCUCCUCCACUGACCAGUUUCACGUAAAGCACCCCUUUAAAUUUUAUGAAUCAAACUCUGUCAAAUCGUUUACAUGAAGACUUUUGAGUCCGAUUGAGCCAUCGAUCCAACUCUAAACGGAUCGUUGGGGUGCAUGUAAAUGUUGCUAUUGAUGUGAGAAGAGUGAGUUGCUUUAGUAAAGUCAGAGAUUUUGAUGAAAGGAUUUGAAGAAUGUGAACAGACGUGUAAGUGAGAGAUGGUAACCCACAUGUUGUGCAGAGGCCAGCUUGACGAAUGCACUGCAGCCGCCCUGGACACUGACGGCCAUAACGCUUAUCAUGGAGAAAUUGUUUCUACACAUCUCAAAAGUCUUCCUGAAUUUGUGAUUUUUAAUUUUUUUUUUCUCUCAGAGAAAGUGAUCCUUUGUUACGAAGAAUUGCACUGACUAUUUUAUUUCUACAUUUUUUGUUUGUUGGUUUUUAUUCGUAGUUAUAGCUUCACUCACAUAACAUGAGCUGAUGAUGUGAGUGGCUUCUAGGUGGUUCCCCUUUUAACUAGUCCUUAUCUUAACCAGUGUUAGAGAGAAACUGGUAGCAGAUCAGAUUAAAAGAGCAACGUCCAUUCAUGCCCAAGAUUUUUAGGUGACACUUAUUUUAUUUGUAUUAGGGCAAGAAUGACUUACUGAAGACACAGGAAGUGGAAGGAGACACCAGCAUUGUCACACUAGAGCUGUUUAUUGUUAUUGUUGUCUAUGAUGAUGAUGAUGAUGAUGUUGAUAUUGUUGACCCACUAUGGUGUAUUGUAAAACAUUACUGUUGUGAUGCUCUAGUGGUAAAUAAAUUAUUUAAGUGACAA
Carassius carassius (crucian carp) is the source of this 866-nucleotide long non-coding RNA. RefSeq lists it as uncharacterized. The record is from RefSeq and is a predicted model, not a curated record. The transcript has 2 exons. NCBI's taxonomy places the organism in Eukaryota, Metazoa, Chordata, Actinopteri, Cypriniformes, Cyprinidae.